Non-coding RNA from Bombyx mori (domestic silkworm), 84 nucleotides. The record is from Rfam. NCBI's taxonomy places the organism in Eukaryota, Metazoa, Arthropoda, Insecta, Lepidoptera, Bombycidae.
UUAACUCAAAUUUGUAUGGAGUUGGAACGUUUGCCUACGUUUGCCGCCAGGGACACUGUUCCAACUGCAUACAAAUUUGAGUUA